Molecule: ribosomal RNA, 552 nt
Filed under: uncultured bacterium
Lineage: Bacteria
Description: partial 16S ribosomal RNA
Rfam family: Bacterial small subunit ribosomal RNA
Source: RNAcentral
UGGGGAAUUUUGGACAAUGGGCGCAAGCCUGACCCAGCCAUGCCGCGUGCGGGAAGAAGGCCUUCGGGUUGUAAACCGCUUUUGUCAGGGAAGAAAUCUUCUGAGUUAAUACCUCGGGAGGAUGACGGUACCUGAAGAAUAAGCACCGGCUAACUACGUGCCAGCAGCCGCGGUAAUACGUAGGGUGCAAGCGUUAAUCGGAAUUACUGGGCGUAAAGCGUGCGCAGGCGGUUUUGUAAGACAGAGGUGAAAUCCCCGGGCUCAACCUGGGAACUGCCUUUGUGACUGCAAGGCUUGAGUGCGGCAGAGGGGGAUGGAAUUCCGCGUGUAGCAGUGAAAUGCGUAGAUAUGCGGAGGAACACCGAUGGCGAAGGCAAUCCCCUGGGCCUGCACUGACGCUCAUGCACGAAAGCGUGGGGAGCAAACAGGAUUAGAUACCCUGGUAGUCCNCGCCCUAAACGAUGUCAACUGGUUGUUGGGAAGGUUCCUUCUCAGUAACGUAGCUGACGCGUGAAGUUUGACCGCCUGGGGAGUACGGCCGCAAGGUUGAAA